RNAcentral lists this ribosomal RNA (370 nucleotides) under uncultured organism. Its description in RNAcentral is "partial 16S ribosomal RNA". It matches the Rfam family "Bacterial small subunit ribosomal RNA", at positions 527 to 896 of the family's 1533-position model. The record is from RNAcentral.
AGAGGGUGCAAGCGUUAAUCGGAAUUACUGGGCGUAAAGGGUGCGUAGGCGGCCUAUUAAGUCGGAUGUGAAAUCCCCGGGGCUCAACCUGGGAACUGCAUUCGAUACUGGUAUGGCUAGAGUAUGGUAGAGGGAAGCGGAAUUUCCGGUGUAGCGGUGAAAUGCGUAGAUAUCGGAAGGAACACCAGUGGCGAAGGCGGCUUUCUGGACUGCUACUGACGCUGAGGCACGAAAGCAUGGUUAGCGAACAGGAUUAGAUACCCUGGUAGUCCAUGCUGUAAACGAUGAGGACUAGCUGUUGGGGGAUAUACCUUUAGUAGCGUAGCUAACGCGAUAAGUUCUCCGCCUGGGGAGUACGGCCGCAAGGCUA